Daphnia magna is the source of this 1105-nucleotide long non-coding RNA. RefSeq lists it as uncharacterized. The transcript is spliced from 3 exons. Lineage: Eukaryota; Metazoa; Arthropoda; Branchiopoda; Diplostraca; Daphniidae. The record is from RefSeq and is a predicted model, not a curated record.
UAGUCCUAUCGCGUUGCAUGUGUGCUGUAGGAGGCGUCACGGUGCUGGCUAGACCUUGUGUCGUCCAGACGGCCUAGGACUGGAAACAGAUGCGUGAAUGUCGACGAUCAUUUCGUGUGAGGGUGUCCCCCCAUCCGCAUACUAUGAUAUUCAUGAAUAUGCCCCCGUGGUAUAAGCAUGAAAAUCAUGGUAUAAUCACGUGAAUUGUGAGGCAUUCUGCUCCUGCAUUCCGCUAGGUACAGAUCCGUCUGGGUCAGGUUACUGUUGAACGUCGGGUGGGGAUGACCCGGUGAUUUGGCAGUAUUGUGACGAUUACUACACAUACACCACGAUAGAAACUCAGCUGCUGCUAGUCAAGUCAUACUAAGCGGUGCCUAUCUUUAUUUUUUCUACAUCUGGAAUUAUCGGUAGGAUUUAUCGCUAAUCACUACGGAAGCCAAUUUACCGUUACCAAGUUUACGGAAUCUAAGCAAUUAGGAUACCUGGCUGGUCUGAAGGCAAAAGAAGAAGUCAAUUAAACCCGGAGAAACCGAUAAAUGCACAGUCUAGACAACGGCCCUUUGUCCAUUCAGAUGUACAUAAAACAUUCGUAUUAAUUUUUAUAAAUUAUUUUUGCUCACUUCUCUCAAUUUGAUCAGCCCUCUAAACAAGCCGUUAUGGCGAACACGUUUUGACAAAAUGACGUAUGCAAUGUACCACUAUGUGAUUUGAGUAUUGUCUAUUGGCUCAUUGUAUUAUGUUAUAGUUUAGUUAUAUGAAUUCUUAUCCUUGAAUUGCAGUCUUUAUUUAUUUUACAUUGCCAUCUGCCAACCAUUGUCAUUCCAUUGUUCCAGUUUUCAACAGCUUCUCGACUAAGGCAACAAUCAACCAGCAGUAUUUCAAUCCUUCAGUCAUUACCUCCUCUCAAAACUUUGAAAUUUUCGUUAUUGGAUUGGAUCCCGUCUCUACCGUAUGCGGUCAUAACCUUUCUCAGCGCGCCAAAACGCAUAGACUUGAAUUCCAUCGCCUAAUUGAGAUUUCAAAUUGUUCAUCAUCAUCUCUGCCAAAAAAUCGCCAUCUAAUGCAAGUCAUCAAGUCAUGCCUCCUUACCUAAUUUACCACAUAA